RNAcentral lists this ribosomal RNA (1118 nucleotides) under Trachyrhinus marmoratus. RNAcentral's name for it is "partial 16S ribosomal RNA". The stretch from base 794 to 1118 matches the Rfam family "Archaeal large subunit ribosomal RNA", at positions 2155 to 2705 of the family's 2987-position model. Lineage: Eukaryota; Metazoa; Arthropoda; Arachnida; Opiliones; Sclerosomatidae. The record is from RNAcentral.
AAUUUUUAUCUUAAGAUAAAUGAAAAAUUAAUGAAAGUAUUCUUAAUUUUUUUUUAUAAAUUAUUUUAUUUGAAAUAAUUAUAUAUUUAUGACUGUGAAGGUGUUUAAAUUGUUUUAAAGUAGAGUUAGAUGCUCUUACCUUUUGUAUCAGGGUCCAUUAAAUUUAGUGAUUUAUUUUUAUUUCCCGAAAAGAAAUGAGUUAUGUAGGUAGCGUUGUAUUGUGGCACAAAUAUAGCUAAUACUUAUAUAGAAGUGAGAUGUUAACGUAUUUCUUGAUAUCUGGUUCCUUAAUUGACUAGUAAUUUUUUUUUAAAAUUACUAUUAUUUUAUUGGGGUAAGCUCAAUAUUUCUCUAUAUUAUUUUUUUAUUGUAAUAAUUGGAGGAUUGAUAGUGUCUUUUUGUUUAAUAACAUAAAUUUUUUUAUUAAAAUUAGUUAAGGGUUGGUUCUAAGAAAAAUAUUGUUUUUAGUAAAUAAUGAUGGUAUUAGUAGAAUUUUUGAAUUUUAUGUUAACUUAAGUCAUUUUAAUGUAAUAGUUAAAAAAAAAUAAAUUUAAUAGGAACUCGGCAAACUAAUUUUUGAACUGUUUAUCAAAAACAUUUUUCUAAGUGAGGAUUUAGAGUAUCCCCUGCCCACUGUUUUGUUGGAUAAAAGGCCGCAGUAGCCUGACUGUGCUAAGGUAGCAUAAUCAUUUGGGUUUUAAUUGAGCUCUGGUAUGAAAGGGGGAAUCAAAAUAAGCUGUCUUUUAGAUUAAUUUUAAAUUUAAAUUUUUAGUAAAAAUGCUAGAAUAGGGUUGUGGGACGAUAAGACCCUAUAAAGCUUUAUUGUUAUUAAUUCUAUUUUGUUAACUGUGUUAGAAUUAUUGAAUAAUUUGACUGGGGCGGUCACCAAUUUAAACUUGGUUAAAUUAAAACAUUUUAUGAUCCAUUAUUAAUGAAAUAAGAUUAAGUUACUUUAGGGAUAACAGGAUAAAAUACUUUUGGAGUUCUAAUCGAAGAGUAUGUAUGUUACCUCGAUGUUGAAUUAAUAUAUUUUUAAGGUGGAGAUACUUUAUUAAUUAGUCUGUUCGACUAUUAAAAAAUUACAUGAUUUGAGUUCAAACCGGUUUGAGCCAGGUUGG